AUCAACCUGUGGUGUUCGAUCACCUGUUAUUUUGAACCUACAACUUAUAAUAGGGAGACGGAUAUGCGAAGAAUAAUGCCAGGCCACAACCUAAUUCGCUUUGCGCAGUGGAAGGCAACAAUUCGGACUGAGUCACCCACCUAGCUUAGCUAGGGCGUCAAAAUUGCAGGAACGGCAUCUUGGGCUAAUU
This 190-nucleotide non-coding RNA is filed under the name Candidatus Parepulonipiscium sp. PG-Nele67M_MBin01. Its description in RNAcentral is "Epulopiscium sp. Nele67-Bin001 6S RNA". It matches the Rfam family "6S / SsrS RNA". Rfam says of the family: E. coli 6S RNA was the first non coding RNA to be sequenced, but its function was unknown until recently. It consists of 184 nucleotides that fold into an extended hairpin structure with a large single-stranded internal bulge. The record is from RNAcentral. Lineage: Bacteria; Bacillati; Bacillota; Clostridia; Lachnospirales; Lachnospiraceae. RNAcentral also lists the same sequence under 1 other name.